UGAAAUGCGCUGAAAAAGAGGAGUAUCCAUGAGGAUGUGCCAGAGAGGAAAACCCCAAGGCUGAAAGGUUUUCUCAUUUGAACCGUGGAGAAGGUAGCUUUUGAGCUUCUGGACUGAACUUUUAUCUGUAAGUCCAGACGGUUGUUCCCAACCGUUAUGUUUUGAGAGCCCAUGGAAGUGGGAAUAAAGGUGGUACCGCGAGUCUUCGUCCUUUUU
RNAcentral lists this non-coding RNA (216 nucleotides) under Proteiniclasticum ruminis. Its description in RNAcentral is "T-box sequence". It matches the Rfam family "T-box leader". Rfam says of the family: Uncharged tRNA acts as the effector for transcription antitermination of genes in the T-box leader family. T-boxes are found upstream of many aminoacyl-tRNA synthetase genes and some amino acid biosynthetic genes usually in Gram-positive bacteria. The record is from RNAcentral. Lineage: Bacteria; Bacillati; Bacillota; Clostridia; Eubacteriales; Clostridiaceae.